UACGGAGGAUGCGAGCGUUAUCCGGAUUUAUUGGGUUUAAAGGGUGCGCAGGCGGUCUGUUAAGUCAGCGGUAAAAUCGAGGGGCUCAACCCCUUUAAGCCGUUGAAACUGGUGAUCUUGAGUGGGCGAGAAGUAUGCGGAAUGCGUGGUGUAGCGGUGAAAUGCAUAGAUAUCACGCAGAACUCCGAUUGCGAAGGCAGCAUGCCGGCUCCACACUGACGCUGAGGCACGAAAGCGUGGGUAUCGAACAGG
This 252-nucleotide ribosomal RNA is filed under the name uncultured Bacteroidales bacterium. Its description in RNAcentral is "partial 16S ribosomal RNA". It matches the Rfam family "Bacterial small subunit ribosomal RNA", at positions 524 to 776 of the family's 1533-position model. The record is from RNAcentral. Lineage: Bacteria; Pseudomonadati; Bacteroidota; Bacteroidia; Bacteroidales.